GAGUUUGAUCAUGGCUCAGAUUGAACGCUGGCGGCAGGCCUAACACAUGCAAGUCGAGCGGAAACGGCAGUAUUGAAGCUUCGGUGGAUUUACUGGACGUCGAGCGGCGGACGGGUGAGUAACGGCUGGGAACCUGCCCUGACGAGGGGGAUAACCGUUGGAAACGACGGCUAAUACCGCAUAAUGUCUACGGACCAAAGGUGGCCUCUACAUGUAAGCUAUCGCGUUGGGAUGGGCCCAGUUAGGAUUAGCUAGUUGGUAAGGUAAUGGCUUACCAAGGCGACGAUCCUUAGCUGGUUUGAGAGGAUGAUCAGCCACACUGGGACUGAGACACGGCCCAGACUCCUACGGGAGGCAGCAGUGGGGAAUAUUGCACAAUGGGGGAGACCCUGAUGCAGCCAUGCCGCGUGUGUGAAGAAGGCCUUCGGGUUGUAAAGCACUUUCAGCAGUGAGGAAGGUGGUGUACUUAAUAAGUGCAUGGCCUGACGUUAGCUGCAGAAGAAGCACCGGCUAACUCCGUGCCAGCAGCCGCGG
This 534-nucleotide ribosomal RNA is filed under the name uncultured Gammaproteobacteria bacterium. Its description in RNAcentral is "bacterial SSU rRNA". It matches the Rfam family "Bacterial small subunit ribosomal RNA", at positions 9 to 520 of the family's 1533-position model. Lineage: Bacteria; Pseudomonadati; Pseudomonadota; Gammaproteobacteria. The record is from RNAcentral.